This 154-nucleotide microRNA precursor is filed under the name Callithrix jacchus (white-tufted-ear marmoset). RNAcentral's name for it is "microRNA cja-mir-582 precursor". Its record names the gene cja-mir-582. The stretch from base 33 to 115 matches the Rfam family "mir-582 microRNA precursor family". The record is from miRBase by way of RNAcentral. Lineage: Eukaryota; Metazoa; Chordata; Mammalia; Primates; Cebidae.
UCUCUCUCUAGUAGACCACAACAAGUCAGUCUGUGCUCUUUGAUUACAGUUGUUCAACCAGUUACUAAUCUAACUAAUUGUAACUGGUUGAACAACUGAACCCAAAGGGUGCAAAGUAGAAACAUUUCGUUGUGAAGUCGGCUGGGGACAAAGA